RNAcentral lists this ribosomal RNA (458 nucleotides) under uncultured bacterium. RNAcentral describes it as "partial 16S ribosomal RNA". It matches the Rfam family "Bacterial small subunit ribosomal RNA", at positions 338 to 795 of the family's 1533-position model. The record is from RNAcentral.
CCUACGGGUGACUGCAGUGAGGAAUAUUGGUCAAUGGGCGAGAGCCUGAACCAGCCAAGUCGCGUGAGGGAGUACUGCCCUAUGGGUUGUAAACCUCUUUUGUCGGGGAGCAAAAGCCGGACGUGUCCGGCUGUGAGAGUACCCGAAGAAACAGCAUCGGCUAACUCCGUGCCAGCAGCCGCGGUAAUACGGAGGAUGCGAGCGUUAUCCGGAUUUAUUGGGUUUAAAGGGUGCGCAGGCGGAUUUUUAAGUCAGCGGUAAAAUCGUGGGGCUCAACCCCAUCCAGCCGUUGAAACUGGGGAUCUAGAGUGUGCGAGAGGUAUGCGGAAUGCGUGGUGUAGCGGUGAAAUGCAUAGAUAUCACGCAGAACCCCGAUUGCGAAGGCAGCAUACCGGUGCACAACUGACGCUCAGGCACGAAAGCGUGGGUAUCGAACAGGAUUAGAUACCCCUGUAGUC